UGCGUAGGCGGCGUGCCAAGUCAGGUGUGAAAUCCCUCGGCUCAACCGGGGAACUGCACUUGAAACUGGCAUGCUAGAAUCUUGGAGAGGGUGGCGGAAUUCCAGGUGUAGGAGUGAAAUCCGCAGAUAUCUGGAGGAACACCAGUGGCGAAGGCGGCCACCUGGACGAUGAUUGACGCUGAGGUACGAAAGCGUGGGUAGCAAACA
Molecule: ribosomal RNA, 207 nt
Filed under: uncultured bacterium
Lineage: Bacteria
Description: partial 16S ribosomal RNA
Rfam family: Bacterial small subunit ribosomal RNA
Source: RNAcentral